CGUAAUCACAACAGGGUGUUGCGGGGGUCGGGUGUGAGCCUGGUCCUCGUGAUGCCUUGCUGGCAUGCAUGCAUGGUGUUUCUUGCGAGGCAUCGUGGGUGUUGUGUUGGCAUGAUAACAAACCCCCGGCACGGCAUGUGCCAAGGAAAACAAAACAUAAGAAUGGUGCGUCCCGUGUUGCCCCGUUCGCGGUGUGCGCAUGGGUCGUGUCUUCUCAUUAAACCAUAAACAACUCUCGGCAACGGAUAUCUCGGCUCACGCAUCGAUGAAGAACGUAGCAAAAUGCGAUACUUGGUGUGAAUUGCAGAAUCCCGUGAACCAUCGAGUUUUUGAACGCAAGUUGCGCCCGAAGCCAUUCGGCCGAGGGCACGUCUGCCUGGGCGUCACGCAUCGCGUCGCCCCCGACCACGCCUCCCUCAUGGGAAUGGCUUGUGUCGGGGGCAGAGACUGGUCUCCCAUGCCCAUGGUGUGGUUGGCCUAAAAAGGAGUCCCCUUUGACGGACGCACGGCUAGUGGUGGUUGUCAAGGCCUUCGUAACGAGUUGUGUGGAUGCAAAGGGAUCGCUCUAAAAAGACCCCAA
RNAcentral lists this unclassified non-coding RNA (580 nucleotides) under Jurinea alata. RNAcentral describes it as "sequence contains ITS1, 5.8S rRNA gene and ITS2". The stretch from base 231 to 386 matches the Rfam family "5.8S ribosomal RNA". Lineage: Eukaryota; Viridiplantae; Streptophyta; Magnoliopsida; Asterales; Asteraceae. The record is from RNAcentral.